AACCGCGCAGAAGUAAAGGAAUAGAGCUGAAAUGUCACGUUCAAGGUUCAGUUCGGCAAGAGUUUGGCUUGGCUGUUUUGAUCAUUUGACAGAGCAGUCAACCGCGCUUGUUCUUGCCGAGUGCACUUCUUGAGCGUGAGCACUGUGUCCGGUAUUUGUGCCGGUUGGGGACUGAGUAUUGUGGGCAGACCAAUUCGGUAUCUGACUCCCAUUUUCAUGUCUCCAUCUGGUUGCGGAAACCGUGUAACAUUGCGUUGGCUUGUCUCAGACCGUAUGGCAAGGCGUUAACUGAAACUCCGUACUCUGCGUGCAGGCUACGGUGACCCUUAGCGUUUAUGCUGUGCUCGUCUGAAUCUUCGCAGUGUGUCAGCAGUGUUUGUGUCAGCCACCUAUUCCACCCGUCUUGAAACACGGACCAAGAAGUCUAACAUGUACGCAAGUCAUUGGGUCUGCAAACCCAAAGGCGAAAUGAAAGUAAGCUUCUUUAGAAGUUAAGCAGGAUCCUCGAUUAUUCGGGGCGCACUGCUGUCCUGCCUUAUAUGCAUUGUCAUUAAGGCGGAGAAUGAGCGGACAUGUUAGGACCCGAAAGAUGGUGACCUAUACCUGAGCAGGAUGAAGCCAGAGGAAACUCUGGUGGAGGUCCGUAGCGAUUCUGACGUGCAAAUCGAUCGUCAGACU
RNAcentral lists this ribosomal RNA (678 nucleotides) under Oxystomina sp. NUS3. RNAcentral describes it as "eukaryotic LSU rRNA". It matches the Rfam family "Eukaryotic large subunit ribosomal RNA", at positions 403 to 911 of the family's 3401-position model. The record is from RNAcentral. Lineage: Eukaryota; Metazoa; Nematoda; Enoplea; Enoplida; Oxystominidae.